Long non-coding RNA from Callithrix jacchus (white-tufted-ear marmoset), 3933 nucleotides. The record is from Ensembl. Lineage: Eukaryota; Metazoa; Chordata; Mammalia; Primates; Cebidae.
AUGGAACUCUGGUGCCCGCCAUCCACGCCUCCUCCUGCCAGGGUAACUGGAAAAAGGAACCCAGUGAGACACUUCCUGCUUCCUCCUGCUAAGCUUCAUGGCUGGACUACUGCACUCUGUCAUGCGCUGAGCUGGGAAGACCUACAUUGGGAAGAGUACCUGGCGGGGUAUCUUGGAGGAAAACAGUAUCUUCAGGUGUGCAAACAGAAGCAGGUACGUGUGAGCUGUGAUGUGUGCUGUGGAGGAUGUGAACGGUGGCCACGCAAAGAAGCAGGGGACGCCUUCGCUGGAAUGAGGGGCCGGCCUUUCCAGGGACCACCUGGCAGAACAGUAGCCCAGGGACGGGGCUUUGGCCUGGGCGGAGGGACUCCAGGCAUGAGCUCUUAGGCUGUGGCCGGAAAAGCCCAAGGCAGGGCUGCUCCCUGCAUGAGCCAACCAUCCCUGCAGUGGGCUGUGCCCACAAAAGUCAUGUCCAUACACUUAAAAUACGUUAAAAUGGCAGAUUUUAUGUUACAUGUAUUUUACCACAAUUUUAAGAAAUUCAUGAUAUGCUCAAGCCCAUCGAAUUGCAUACUUUAAAUGGAUGGAUUACAUGGAUGUAAAUUAUGUCAAUAAAAUUAUUUUUUUAAAGCUAUGUCCAAGUCCUAACCCUAGUACCUGUGAAUCCUUGGGGAAAGAUCCUUGCAGAUGUAACAAAGGACUUUGAGAUGAGAUUAUAUGAGAUUUAGGCCAUGCCGUAUAUCCAAUGGCUGGUGUCCUUAUCAGAGAAAGGCAGAAGAAGACUUGAGAUGCGACACAGAGGAGAAGUUCAUGUGGGAUGGAGCAGAGACUGGAGUGACGUUGCCACAUGCCAGGGAACACCUGGGGCCACCAGAGGCUGAAAGAGGCAGGUAGCAUCCUCCCCGGAAGCCUUCAGAGAGAGCAUAGCCCUGUGACACCUCCAUCUUGGACUUCUGAUCUCUAAGACGCGAGAGAAUCAGCUACUGUUGCUUUCAGCUAACCAAUGCAUGGACAUUUGUUCCAGGAGCCCCAGGAAGCUGACCCCAUCAGAACGCCAAGGACCGGGGCAGCGAGUCCCACGUGUCUGAGCAGAGAGUCUGAGUGUCCUUAUCACCCAGAUGAUAAGGACACCACAGCCUCCUCUUUUAAAAAGACACAAGGCGGAGGGAUGCGGAGGCUCAUGCCUGCAAUCUCUUGUUUUGGGAGGCUGAGGCGGGUGGAUUGCCUGAGGUCAGGAGUUCGAGACCAAUCUGGCCAACAUGGUGAAACUCUGCCUCUACUAAAAAUACGAAAAAUUAGCUGGGCAUGAUGGCGUGCGCCUGUCAUUCCAGCUACUUGAGAGGCUGAGGCACAGGAAUUGCUUAAACCAGGGAGGUGGAGGUUUCAGUGAGCCGAGAUUGCACCACUGGACUCCAGCCUGGGCGACAGAACAAGACUCCAUCUCAAAAGCAAAAACAAACAAACAAACAAAAAAUACAAGGCAGUUCCGUGGGCAGAGAUUUGGAAUAUUCUAGAAUAUUUUGAAUAAAGGGGGAAAAGGUAAGACAACACUAUACAAUGAGAGCUUUUGAAGAAUAGUAAGAAUUUCUGAGGAUGGACGCAAUGGCUCAUGCCUCUAAUCCCAGCACUCUGGGAGACUGAGCUGGUGGAUUGUUCAAGCCUGGGCAACAUAGGAAGACCUCAUUUCCACUAAAGGUUUUUUUUAAAAAAAUUAGCCUGGUGUGGUAGCACAUGCCUGUAGUCCCAGCGGCUUAGGAGGCUGAGGUGGGAGGAUCACUUAAGCCUGUGAGUUCAAGGCUGCAGUGAGCCAAGAUCAUGCCACUGAACUCCCGCCUGGGCAACAGAGCAAGCCUGUCUCAAAAAAAUAAAAAUAAAAAGGAAUAGUAAGAAUUUUUGGAAUUCAAAUGUGAAUUUUUGUCUGUUUAAUUUCUUUUCUUUUUUGAGACGGAGUCUUGUUCUAUUGCCCAGGCUGAAAUGCAGUGGUGAAGGAUAUUUCCGUGUUUUGAUGAACUUUUCAGUCAGUACUUUGCUUUCUAUUCAGCUGGAGACUGAGAUUUCCUGGGGGUCUUUGGGGCUGGGGAGGAAGGAUCUUUUUUCCUUUUUUUUUUUUUUUGAGAUGGAGUCUCACUCAGCAGGAAUGAGCUAAGACACACAUAUUUCAGAAAACUGCCUACAUAACUAAUAAUAAGAAUGCGCCACAUGGGAGGCCUCAUCCUCUGGACUCCCCAGAUCCCCUCUAUUUGGACAAAGUAAAGGAAAGUCCCUUUCUCAGUGUGGAUUCUGAAUAGAGAAGUCUGUCACCCUCAUGGUGUGAUGGGUGAGGACUUAGUAACCCGAAUCCCAGUCCUAGGACCCUUUAAAAGCCUGAAGGACCCUUCUGUGUGUGGGUCUAGCUGAGAUGCAGUGAGAAGUGGAAGACCACCUGAGUCACUGUUGCAGGAUGAUUUAUUAUUAAAGUAAGGCACCUGACCAUGGAAUGACCUCACUUCUAUCACCACUACAGAACCGAGCAAAGGAAAUUCCGAAAUCACCACUCAGUGCUCAACCCAGCCUGGGAAGUCAACAGCAAGGUUUCAAGGCGGACCCUUGCUUUCCCGUGUGUGUGUGUGUGUGUGUGUAUGUGUGGAUCUUUCUAACAGUGACGCCCAUGAGAGCAGGCUCUCCAACUCCUGCCGGUGACCUUGGACGGCAGCCUUCACCACUCGGGGCUCAGGGCCUCAACCACCAAAUGAGGAGGGAGAACUAAGCUGUCCUAAAACCAUUUUUUUUCCAUUUCUAAAUCCUUUGGGUGUUCUAAAAAUAUACUAGGAUCUCUCAGGCAAUUCUGCAACAUAGGAAAAGUUACCCCAGCAGGCCUGGUUUAAAACCCAACUCUUCCCUCUCUGUCAUUCACCAGCUGUGAAAGUGUAAGUAGCGUGUUAUCCUUCCUUGUACUCAGCCUCCCCUUCUGUAAAAUGGGCACAAAAGAACCUGGCCAGGCGCAGUGGCUCACGCCGGUAAUCCCAGCACUUUGGGAGGCCAAGGUGGGUGGAUCACCUGAGGUCAGGAUUUCAAGACCAUCCAGGCCAACAUGGUGAAAUCCUGUCUCUACUAAAAAUACAAAAAUUAGCCAGGUGUGGUGGUGGGCACCUGUAAUCCCAGCUAUUUGGUGGCGGGGGACGGCGGUGGGGUGGCUGAGGCAGGAGAAUAGCUUGAACCUGGGAGGUGGAGGUUGCAGUAAGCCAAGAUUGUGCCACUGCACUCUAGCCUGGGUGACAGAGUGAGACUCGAUCUGAAAAAGAAAAAAAAAUUAGUUGGGCAUGGUGGUGGGCACCUGUAAUCCCAGCUACUCAAGAGGCUGAGGCAGAAGAAUCGCUUGAACCUGAGAGGCAGAGGUGGUAGUGAGCCGAGAUCGCGCCACUGCACUCCAGCCUGAGUGACAGAGCAAGAUUCCAUCUCAAAAAGAAAAAAAAAAAACCCAACCAGGAACAAUGUGGAUGGGCUUCAAUAGCAGCAGACUUCCUCUGGCCUCAAAAACCCUCCGAAAUGCCAGGCUGAUGAUUUCCACGUGCCUUUGAUAGUCCAGAAGCCAGGAAUUGUGUGAAGUUCCGUGUUCCUUUGGAGCAUUUCAGCAUAAAAUUGGUAACGGUGUCAGGACUUCACACUGUGGCCUAAGAAUAAAAGUAAGUUUCAUUCUCUCCCAGUCUUUGGGGCUGGGGCUGAGCUGUACACUGAAUUUGACUACAAGUUUACUGGAAGCCAACAGAGACAGAAGCGCAGGAGGACAGUGCAGGCUCUCCAAAAAGAGGAAAGUGUGUCUGUUCUGCAGGAAGGAAAACACAGCGUCUUUCCUUGGCACUAAAUUUAAAACAAAAUGUAGUAUGUGAGAGAUGUUAAUAAUAUUAUCACAAUCGUAGGGAUAAUAUCUAUAGUCUGAGGGAUGAAUUAUUCAUG